CCUGUUCCUAGAGGCAUUACAGGUGUGACUGCUGUGUCACGUGUGUCAGUAGGUCACAGAGAGGAGAGGGGCUGUGUCUGUACUCACUGUUCUGACCUGGGAAUAUUUGAAUGAUCAGUAGCCUAAACUUU
Small nucleolar RNA from Psammomys obesus (fat sand rat), 131 nucleotides. RefSeq annotates it as small nucleolar RNA SNORA17. NCBI's taxonomy places the organism in Eukaryota, Metazoa, Chordata, Mammalia, Rodentia, Muridae. The transcript has a single exon. The record is from RefSeq and is a predicted model, not a curated record.